GACGAACGCUGGCGGCGUGCCUAAUACAUGCAAGUAGAACGCUGAAGAGAGGAGCUUGCUCUUCUUGGAUGAGUUGCGAACGGGUGAGUAACGCGUAGGUAACCUGCCUUGUAGCGGGGGAUAACUAUUGGAAACGAUAGCUAAUACCGCAUAACAAUGGAUGACACAUGUCAUUUAUUUGAAAGGGGCAAUUGCUCCACUACAAGAUGGACCUGCGUUGUAUUAGCUAGUAGGUGAGGUAAUGGCUCACCUAGGCGAAGAUACAUAGCCGACCUGAGAGGGUGAUCGGCCACAACGGGACUGAGACACGGCCCAGACUCCUACGGGAGGCAGCAGUAGGGAAUCUUCGGCAAUGGGGGCAACCCUGACCGAGCAACGCCGCGGGAGGGAAGAAGGGUUUCGGAUCGUAAAGCUCUGUUGUAAGUCAAGAACGGGUGUGAGAGUGGAAAGUUCACACUGUGACGGUAGCUUACCAGAAAGGGACGGCUAACUACGUG
This 497-nucleotide ribosomal RNA is filed under the name uncultured bacterium. RNAcentral's name for it is "partial 16S ribosomal RNA". It matches the Rfam family "Bacterial small subunit ribosomal RNA", at positions 28 to 507 of the family's 1533-position model. The record is from RNAcentral.